CACCCUAUUUCACCAAGGUCCACCCACUUGAAGAUUUCUGGCCUCGCCACUGGGUCGAAAGUGGACAAACUCAAACCGUUUUAGACCCCAUUUACACCUGUAUUUAGUGUCGUGCACUUGUGAUCAGAUCAGCCAAAAUGCAUCUUAACACCAGGUGGAAACAGGCCCACAGUCUGCUUCUGGCAGUGGAAUGCUCUCACCCAAAAAUUCAAGUCUCCAGAUCAUCCUACGGCUGCGCUAGAAGAAUGUAAUGGCUAUUGUGAACACUUAUAUUCAUUUUCUGGCCUGCAUUCUGCCAUCUUUCUCUCCCUGUAGGAAGUCGAAUGAGUUUCUUUGAAGACAGAACAUUCAAGGAAAACUUACCUACCCUCUCCCUGGAUAUAAUAUAUAAUUAAAUGUUUUGUUGAAUG
This is a long non-coding RNA of Megalobrama amblycephala (Wuchang bream), 410 nucleotides long. RefSeq lists it as uncharacterized. The record is from RefSeq and is a predicted model, not a curated record. The transcript is spliced from 2 exons. NCBI's taxonomy places the organism in Eukaryota, Metazoa, Chordata, Actinopteri, Cypriniformes, Xenocyprididae.